Molecule: ribosomal RNA, 245 nt
Filed under: uncultured Oscillospiraceae bacterium
Lineage: Bacteria; Bacillati; Bacillota; Clostridia; Eubacteriales; Oscillospiraceae
Description: partial 16S ribosomal RNA
Rfam family: Bacterial small subunit ribosomal RNA
Source: RNAcentral
UACGUAGGUGGCGAGCGUUGUCCGGAAUUACUGGGUGUAAAGGGCGUGUAGACGGGUGUGCAAGUCAGAUGUGAAAUUCCAGGGCUCAACCCUGGCGCUGCAUCUGAAACUGUAUAUCUUGAGUGCUGGAGAGGAAAGCGGAAUUCCUAGUGUAGCGGUGAAAUGCGUAGAUAUUAGGAGGAACACCAGUGGCGAAGGCGGCUUUCUGGACAGUAACUGACGUUGAGGCGCGAAAGCGUGGGGAG